This 3137-nucleotide ribosomal RNA is filed under the name Triticum aestivum (bread wheat). RNAcentral describes it as "partial small subunit ribosomal RNA". Lineage: Eukaryota; Viridiplantae; Streptophyta; Magnoliopsida; Poales; Poaceae. The record is from RNAcentral.
CCACCACAUAGCCGGCCGAAGCGAGGGAGCAUUCGCUGAUCCAAAAAGCAGCGAACCAAUCAGUCGUAGGCGAUUCGAGUGCUUGCUAACCCUAACCAACGCCAGCGGCGACGGCGGCGGCAGCGAGCCGAAACGUCUUGGAAGCGGGGCGGCGUGCCAUCGGUGUCGAUCUCCACUUGCAUGGAUUCGAAGCGCGGCAGCGUGGUUGUGGACGAGGGGCGCGACGUCCAUGGCGCUCAAGCUUUGGCGACCAUGCUGGUACCAAUUUUGGGUGUUUGAAUUUGUUAUACUGACCGAACUGUACUGUGCUGGUAGCCAUGGCGUAGUGAGUCAAGAAGCCUCAUGUUCCUCCGCAUUCCAGGAACAACCCAACUUACUCCGCAACGACGACCACCAUGCAUUUUUACCAACUGUCAAACCAUCUUAUCUCAUCCUAGAAAAACAUACUGUGUAGAGUAGGUGCUCGCUACAGUUGUCUAUCCGGGCCUCCGGCCACCAAAUUCGAACCAUAAACAUAUGUUUUGUCCAAUAGUAGGUGCAGAUGCUAGGGGCUAGGCGUCGAUACCUCCGGUCUCAUGGCACUCCAUGCAAAGCCAAGGCAGGUGACACUCCUUGCAAUUGUUUGUAUGCUUGCAUUGGAAUAAAUGGCCAUGUGAUUUCUGCUGCAUGGCGAUGCUAUUUUAACAAAGUAUUGUUCAGUUUGCAGUAACAAGUUGGUACCCUCUUAUCCUCUACAGGUACUACAUCGGUUAAGCAACAUAUCUUGUCUUUCCUAGACAUCAGCAUUAUUUUGCUAACAUAAUACAGAUCUUAAGUUAAAUCAAUUGAUAAUGUUCUUCUUCUGACCGAAGAAAAUCAUUUUUAGAUAGUUAGUGGCAGGGGCAGUUGGUCAGAUAUAAAGCCUUCUGGUAAACCAGGCGGAUUUAAUGGUCUAAGUAGCUACUGAUUUGCUAACGGGUCACUGCUUUGCAAGAUAAAACUGGCCCAUCUUCGUCCCCCACAUAGCUGACUUGUGCUGCAAAGACUGGAUUCCCUCAAAGGAAAAAAAAAAUUGAGACUGAUGGUGGCAGAAUGACGAAGAAGCUUGGUCAUCUCUCUUCUGUUACUAUUGCUGGCAUUAGGCCUCGAGCGUCAGGAUCAUGAGUAGGGUGUGGAGGCUGUCGGGCUGCAGUCCCAUGGAGUUCUAUGCCUCCAUAUAUAGGAAGUGGAUAUAGUUGAAGCGCCAUAUCCAAUUCAUCGACCUCGCCAUGAUGAGGGAGAAGGUGGUGACCAAUAGGAGAUAUUCGAGCUCAGGAGUAACAUGGCACAAAGGGAUGUUGGUUGAUAAGAUUCAUCCACAUACCAUGUCAAUAUUCUUGGACAAGUCUCCGAACCAUCUAAGCGGCGAUCUCGACCUCUCCUGGCCCGCCACCCCUCUGGUGCUGGACGAAGACAACGAGGUCCCUGCUCCCGUGGUGCCGCUGCCUUCUCCUCCGCCCGUCGCCACCCCUAUGGUGGCCUCCCCCGCCCGCCGCCGGAGCGCCCGCCUUGCCGGGAUCGAGCCUUCGGAGUACGUCUCCAUCAUCCAGAAGGCCACUCAGCGCAUGCGUGUCUUGAAGGAAGGAAAGAUUUUUGCUGGUGGAAAGGCGCUCCUCCCAGUUCAGCUCAUCGACUUGGCGCCCGAGGUCUCCUCGCCCCUCCCUCGGCAGGACGUGCUGGAGCUUGCCGCUGCCUGUGACGUGCCUGCCUCGGCUCUCCUUGAUGACACCGCAUGUGUCUAAUGUUGCGUCUUCAACUGUCAGCCCCGGAUCCCCUCGCGGUCCUUCUCUGCCAUCGCGCUUUGGCUUGUAUCAGUCUGUCGUCUGUAUCCCGUUUUAGUCCUACCUUUGCUCCGACCAUAGGUCUUAGCUCUUCUGAGCUUGGUCGCAGCCUCUUUCCUUUGCUACUUUCACGUCUAGUUGCAGCUGUGGGUCUCAACCCGGCUGUACUUGGCCUAGACUUGCUCCAUGUAUCUGUUUGUAGGUGGCCCUGUCCGGCCAUGUUUCGUUAUGUUUUCGUUGCCCUUUAUAGCUUCCAUGAAUCUUAAAACUCGUUUCAUCUCUUGGAAUGUUCGUGGUCUCGGUAGAAACAAAAAAUGUACUGACGUCAAAGCUGCUCUCUUCGGCCUCGACCCCUCUUUUAUUUGCUUGCAAGAAACAAAGCUUGAUGAUAUCUCUACUUUCAAAGCCAGCUCCUUCUUACCCACUAGGUUGAAAUCAUUCCAUUUCUUGCCUUCAAAUGGUUCUGCUGGAGGAAUACUAACAGCUUGGAACGAUCAAGACUACUCCUGCACUUCUGUCACUGCUCUUAAGUUCUCCUUAACCUUACACUUCUCGGCCAGAGCUAGCAACGAUGAUUUCUCUAUCUCUAACAUUUAUGGUCCUUGCGUCAGCCUUGAGAAGCAAGCGUUUGUUGACGAACUUCUUCUCUUAGGCUCCUUUGUAACCGGCCCCUGGGCUCUUUUAGGCGAUUUCAACUUUACUCUAAAGCCAAACGAGCGCUCGAAUGACAACUUUAACCAUUUCGAAGCCUUGCUCUUCUCGUCUAGCUUAAACCGUCUUAAUCUUCAGGAGCUUCCCCUUCUCGAUAGGCUAUUUACUUGGUCUAACCAACAAGACUCCCCGACUUUGGUGCGCUUGGAUAGGGCUUUUGUCAACACAGCUUGGAGUUUCCUCCUCCCGGACUCCACACUCACGUCCGCUUGCCGGUCAACUUCUGAUCAUGUGCUGCUUGUUCUCAUUGCUGCGUCCAAAGUUCCCACGCCUUCGAUCUUUCGGUUCAACAACGACCUUCUGCACUUACAACCUUUCAUGAACAUCAUUUUGCAAAAUUGGAAUAGUGUUGUCCCAUCUACCCACUUGGGCCACUUAUGUCUCAAACUUAAGAGAGUGCGCGCAGCUGCUAAGGCCUGGGCCAAGCAAGCUAGAUCUCCUCUUGUGAUCACUAAAAACUGCCACACGGUCAUCACCUUCCUAGACAAAAUAGAAGAAUUCCGCUCGCUCUCCUCCUUAGAAUGCUCUCUUCGCACGCAGGUUUCUCUGUCCCUUCACCGGCACAACGCCCUAGCUGCUGUUUACUGGCGGCAACGGGCUAAAAAUCAAGGACUGUGUGCUCGGUGA